This is a non-coding RNA of Megalops cyprinoides (Indo-Pacific tarpon), 72 nucleotides long. Lineage: Eukaryota; Metazoa; Chordata; Actinopteri; Elopiformes; Megalopidae. The record is from the annotation of a RefSeq genome assembly.
GGCGUGGUAGCCAAGUGGUAAGGUGUUGGUCUUGUAAACCAAAGAUCACAGGUUUGAACCCCGUCUGUGCCU